Molecule: ribosomal RNA, 253 nt
Filed under: uncultured bacterium
Lineage: Bacteria
Description: partial 16S ribosomal RNA
Rfam family: Bacterial small subunit ribosomal RNA
Source: RNAcentral
UACGUAGGUGGCAAGCGUUGUCCGGAAUUAUUGGGCGUAAAGCGCGCGCAGGCGGCCUUUUAAGUCUGAUGUGAAAGCCCACGGCUCAACCGUGGAAGGUCAUUGGAAACUGAAAGGCUUGAGUACAGAAGAGGAGAGCGGAAUUCCACGUGUAGCGGUGAAAUGCGUAGAGAUGUGGAGGAACACCAGUGGCGAAGGCGGCUUUCUGGUCUGUAACUGACGCUGAGGCGCGAAAGCGUGGGGAGCAAACAGG